ACCAGCAUGGUAUAGUGGUUUGAGUGUUGGACUACAACUCUGGAGACCAGGGUUCGAUUCCCAGCUCAGCCA
Molecule: transfer RNA, 72 nt
Filed under: Phrynosoma platyrhinos (Desert horned lizard)
Lineage: Eukaryota; Metazoa; Chordata; Lepidosauria; Squamata; Phrynosomatidae
Description: tRNA-OTHER
Source: RNAcentral